Molecule: ribosomal RNA, 505 nt
Filed under: uncultured bacterium
Lineage: Bacteria
Description: partial 16S ribosomal RNA
Rfam family: Bacterial small subunit ribosomal RNA
Source: RNAcentral
GACGAACGCUGGCGGCGUGCCUAAUACAUGCAAGUAGAACGCACAGUUUAUACCGUAGCUUGCUACACCAUAGACUGUGAGUUGCGAACGGGUGAGUAACGCGUAGGUAACCUGCCUGGUAGCGGGGGAUAACUAUUGGAAACGAUAGCUAAUACCGCAUAAUAUUAAUUAUUGCAUGAUAAUUAAUUGAAAGGUGCAAUUGCACCACUACCAGAUGGACCUGCGUUGUAUUAGCUAGUAGGUGAGGUAACGGCUCACCUAGGCGACGAUACAUAGCCGACCUGAGAGGGUGAUCGGCCUCACUGGGACUGAGACACGGCCCAGACUCCUACGGGAGGCAGCAGUAGGGAAUCUUCGGCAAUGGACGAAAGUCUGACCGAGCAACGCCGCGUGAGUGAAGAAGGUUUUCGGAUCGUAAAGCUCUGUUGUAAGAGAAGAACGGGUGUGAGAGUGGAAAGUUCACACUGUGACGGUAUCUUACCAGAAAGGGGCGGCUAACUACGUG